GAUGAACGCUGGCGGCGUGCCUAAUACAUGCAAGUCGAGCGAACAGAUAAGGAGCUUGCUCCUUUGACGUUAGCGGCGGACGGGUGAGUAACACGUGGGUAACCUACCUAUAAGACUGGGAUAACUUCGGGAAACCGGAGCUAAUACCGGAUAAUAUUUCGAACCGCAUGGUUCGAUAGUGAAAGAUGGUUUUGCUAUCACUUAUAGAUGGACCCGCGCCGUAUUAGCUAGUUGGUAAGGUAACGGCUUACCAAGGCGACGAUACGUAGCCGACCUGAGAGGGUGAUCGGCCACACUGGAACUGAGACACGGUCCAGACUCCUACGGGAGGCAGCAGUAGGGAAUCUUCCGCAAUGGGCGAAAGCCUGACGGAGCAACGCCGCGUGAGUGAUGAAGGUCUUCGGAUCGUAAAACUCUGUUAUUAGGGAAGAACAUACGUGUAAGUAACUAUGCACGUCUUGACGGUACCUAAUCAGAAAGCCACGGCUAACUACGUGCCAGCAGCCGCGGUAAUACGUAGGUGGCAAGCGUUAUCCGGAAUUAUUGGGCGUAAAGCGCGCGUAGGCGGUUUUUUAAGUCUGAUGUGAAAGCCCACGGCUCAACCGUGGAGGGUCAUUGGAAACUGGAAAACUUGAGUGCAGAAGAGGAAAGUGGAAUUCCAUGUGUAGCGGUGAAAUGCGCAGAGAUAUGGAGGAACACCAGUGGCGAAGGCGACUUUCUGGUCUGUAACUGACGCUGAUGUGCGAAAGCGUGGGGAUCAAACAGGAUUAGAUACCCUGGUAGUCCACGCCGUAAACGAUGAGUGCUAAGUGUUAGGGGGUUUCCGCCCCUUAGUGCUGCAGCUAACGCAUUAAGCACUCCGCCUGGGGAGUACGACCGCAAGGUUGGAACUCAAAGGAAUUGACGGGGACCCGCACAAGCGGUGGAGCAUGUGGUUUAAUUCGAAGCAACGCGAAGAACCUUACCAAACCUUGACAUCCUUUGACAACUCUAGAGAUAGAGCCUUCCCCUUCGGGGGACAAAGUGACAGGUGGUGCAUGGUUGUCGUCAGCUCGUGUCGUGAGAUGUUGGGUUAAGUCCCGCAACGAGCGCAACCCUUAAGCUUAGUUGCCAUCAUUAAGUUGGGCACUCUAAGUUGACUGCCGGUGACAAACCGGAGGAAGGUGGGGAUGACGUCAAAUCAUCAUGCCCCUUAUGAUUUGGGCUACACACGUGCUACAAUGGACAAUACAAAGGGCAGCGAAACCGCGAGGUCAAGCAAAUCCCAUAAAGUUGUUCUCAGUUCGGAUUGUAGUCUGCAACUCGACUACAUGAAGCUGGAAUCGCUAGUAAUCGUAGAUCAGCAUGCUACGGUGAAUACGUUCCCGGGUCU
This 1372-nucleotide ribosomal RNA is filed under the name uncultured bacterium. RNAcentral's name for it is "bacterial SSU rRNA". It matches the Rfam family "Bacterial small subunit ribosomal RNA", at positions 28 to 1381 of the family's 1533-position model. The record is from RNAcentral.